This 497-nucleotide ribosomal RNA is filed under the name uncultured bacterium. RNAcentral describes it as "partial 16S ribosomal RNA". It matches the Rfam family "Bacterial small subunit ribosomal RNA", at positions 28 to 507 of the family's 1533-position model. The record is from RNAcentral.
GAUGAACGCUGGCGGCGUGCCUAAUACAUGCCAGUCGAGCGAACAGAUGAGGAGCUUGCUCCUCUGACGUUAGCGGCGGACGGGUGAGUAACACGUGGAUAACCUACCUAUAAGACUGGGAUAACUUCGGGAAACCGGAGCUAAUACCGGAUAAUAUAUUGAACCGCAUGGUUCAAUAGUGAAAGACGGUUUUGCUGUCACUUAUAGAUGGAUCCGCGCCGCAUUAGCUAGUUGGUAAGGUAACGGCUUACCAAGGCAACGAUGCGUAGCCGACCUGAGAGGGUGAUCGGCCACCCUGGAACUGAGACACGGUCCAGACUCCUACGGGAGGCAGCAGUAGGGAAUCUUCCGCAAUGGGCGAAAGCCUGACGGAGCAACGCCGCGUGAGUGAUGAAGGUCUUCGGAUCGUAAAACUCUGUUAUUAGGGAAGAACAAAUGUGUAAGUAACUAUGCACGUCUUGACGGUACCUAAUCAGAAAGCCACGGCUAACUACGUG